AGUGAACGCUGGCGGUAGGCCUAACACAUGCAAGUCGAACGGCAGCACAGUAAGAGCUUGCUCUUACGGGUGGCGAGUGGCGGACGGGUGAGGAAUACAUCGGAAUCUACUUUUUCGUGGGGGAUAACGUAGGGAAACUUACGCUAAUACCGCAUACGACCUACGGGUGAAAGCAGGGGAUCUUCUGACCUUGCGCGAUUGAAUGCGCCGAUGUCGGAUUAGCUAGUUGGCGGGGUAAAGGCCCACCAAGGCGACGAUCCGUAGCUGGUCUGAGAGGAUGAUCAGCCACACUGGAACUGAGACACGGUCCAGACUCCUACGGGAGGCAGCAGUGGGGAAUAUUGGACAAAGGGCGCAAGCCUGAUCCAGCCAUACCGCGUGGGUGAAGAAGGCCUUCGGGUUGUAAAGCCCUUUUGUUGGGAAAGAAAAGCAGCAGGUUAAUACCCCGCUGUUCUGACGGUACCCAAAGAAUAAGCACCGGCUAACUUCGUG
This 492-nucleotide ribosomal RNA is filed under the name uncultured bacterium. Its description in RNAcentral is "partial 16S ribosomal RNA". It matches the Rfam family "Bacterial small subunit ribosomal RNA", at positions 29 to 507 of the family's 1533-position model. The record is from RNAcentral.